UCCUCCCAACAUGGCAGCCUCAGCAAAAAAAAAGAAGACUAAGAAGGGGAAGACCAUCUCCCUAACAGCCUUUCUAGCUGAGGAUGGUGGUACUGGUGGAGAAAGCACCUAUGUCCCCAAACCAGUCAGCUGGGCUGACGAAACAGACGAUCUGGAAGAUGUGUCAACAACCUGGCACAGUAACAAUGAUGAUGUGUACAGGGCACCUCCAAUUGACCAAUCCAUCUUUCCUACCACUCCAUGGGGCUGCUCAGUAACCCAAUAUCGACCGGAGCUGUCUUCCCAAAUUGCCACCCUACAGUGCUUUUCUAGGGAACCUGCCCUAUGAUGUGACAGAAGACUCUAUUAAGGAAUUCUUUAGAGGAUUAAAUAUCAGCACUGUAUGCUUACCACGUGAAAACAGCAAUCCAGACAGGUUGAAAGGCUUUGGCUAUGCGGAGUUUGAGGACCUGGAUUCUCUGCUCAGUGCUCUGAGUCUCAAUGAAGAGUCUCUUGGUAACAGUAGAAUUCCAAUGGACGUUGCUAAUCAAGCACAGGAUAAAGACUGGGAUGAUCAUUCUUUUGGUCAAGAUAGAUAUCGGGAUUCUGACAAAACAGACACAGACUGGAGGGCCCGUCCCGCCACCGACAGCUUUGAUGACUAGCCACCUAGAAGAGGUGAUGAUAGCUUUGGAGACAAGUAUCGAAAUCGUUACGAUUCAGACCAGUACCAGGACAGAUACCGGGAUGGGUACCGGGACGGCCCACACUGAGAUAUGUACCACUAUGGGGCUGGGAUCAAUAUGAUGACCGAGGCAGCAGAGACUAUGACCGAGGAUAUGACUCCCGGAUAGGCAGUGGCAGGAGGGCAUUUGGUAGUGGGUACCAUAGGGAUGAUGACUAUAGAGGAGGUGGGGACUGCUAUGAAGACCAGCAUGACAGAAGGGACGAUCAAUCAUGGAGCUCCAGGGAUGAUUACCCUAGGGACGAUUAUAGGCAUGAUGACAGAGGUCCCCCUCAAAGACCCAAACUGAAUCUAAAGCCUCGGAGUACUCCUAAGCAAGAUGAUUCCUCUGCUAGCACCUCCCAGUUCAUUCGAGUGGCUUCUAUCUUUGGAGGGGCAAAACCUGUGGACACAGCUGCUAGAGAAGGAGAAGUUGAGGAACGGCUACAGAAGGAUCGGGAGAAGUUGCAGUGGCAGCUGGAUGAGCCAAAACUAGACCGCCAGCCACAGGAGAGACACCCAAGUUGGCGAAGUGAAGAAACUCAGGAAAGAGAACAGUCGAGGACAGGAAGUGAGUCAUCGCAGGCUGGGGCCUCAGCCACAUCUGGCAGAAAUCCAUGAAGGAGAGAGAGUGAGAAGUCCCUGGAAAAUGAAACCCUCAAUAAAGAAGAAGACUGUCACUCUCCAACCUCCAAACCUCCUAAACCUGAUCACCCUCUAAAGGUAAUGUCAGCCCUUCCACCAAAGGAGAAUGCAUGGGGGAAGCAAGGCUCUAACCCUCCUGCUCGAUCUCAGAGCUCAGACACAGAGCAGCAGUCCCCUACAAGUGGUGGAGGGAAGGUGGCUCCAACUCAGCCCUCUGAGGAUGGACCAUCAAGGAAAGAUGAAGGUAAAAUAGAUGGGAUGAGUGUCCCAAAAGGCCUAACUGGGAACUCCAGUUGUGGUCCCGGAGAAGGAGGGAACAAAGACCGCUGGAAGGAGUUGGAUAGCAAAGAUGGCAAAAAAGAUCAAGACUCCAGAUCUGCACCUGAGCCAAAGAAAUCUGAGGAGAAUCCAGCCUCUAAGUUCAGUUCUGCAAGCAAGUAUGCUGCUCUCUCCGUAGAUGGUGAAGAUGAGAAUGAGGGAGACGACCACACUGCGUAGACCUCCACGUGCUGUGCUUUCUUCUAGUCUCCACCCUGGAACAUUCAAGAACAAAUCAAACCUCUUUCCAGACAAGAAAAAAUAAAACUUACCAUCUCCUGAAGACCUUUCUUAACUUUUUUU
Molecule: non-coding RNA, 1969 nt
Organism: Peromyscus maniculatus bairdii (prairie deer mouse)
Lineage: Eukaryota; Metazoa; Chordata; Mammalia; Rodentia; Cricetidae
Source: RefSeq, a predicted model, not a curated record